Molecule: long non-coding RNA, 1307 nt
Organism: Esox lucius (northern pike)
Lineage: Eukaryota; Metazoa; Chordata; Actinopteri; Esociformes; Esocidae
Source: Ensembl
GUGGUAAUAUGUUGUUGUAUUGUGUGGUUGUGGUGGUAAUAUGUUGUUAUAUUGUGUGGUUUUGGUGGUAAUAUGUUGUUGUAUUGUGUGGUUGUGGUGGUAAUAUGUUGUUGUAUUGUGGUUGUGGUGGUAAUAUGUUGUUGUAUUGUGGUUGUGGUGGUAAUAUGUUGUUGUAUUGUGGUUGUGGUGGUAAUAUGUUGUUGUAUUGUGUGGUUGUGGUGGUAAUAUGUUGUUGUAUUGUGGUUGUGGUGGUAAUAUGUUGUUGUAUUGUGGUUGUGGUGGUAAUAUGUUGUUGUAUUGUGGUUGUGGAGGUAAUAUGUUGUUGUAUUGUGGUUAAGGUGGUAAUAUGUUGUUGUAUUGUGGUGGUAAUAUGUUGUUGUAUUGUGUGUUUGUGGAGGUAAUAUGUUGUUGUAUUGUGUGGUUGUGGAGGUAAUAUGUUGUUGUAUUGUGGUUGUGGUGGUAAUAUGUUGUUGUAUUGUGUGUUUGUGGAGGUAAUAUGUUGUUGUAUUGUGUGUUUGUGGAGGUAAUAUGUUGUUGUAUUGUGUGGUUGUAGUGGUAAUAUGUUGUUGUAUUGUGUGGUUGUGGAGGUAAUAUGUUGUUGUAUUGUGGGGUUGUGGUGGUAAUAUGUUGUUGUAUUGUGGUUGUGGUGGUAAUAUGUUGUUGUAUUGUGUGGUUGUAAUAUGUUGUUGUAUUGUGUGGUUGUGGUGGUAAUAUGUUGUUGUAUUGUGGUUGUGGUGGUAAUAUGUUGUUGUAUUGUGUGGUUGUGGUGGUAAUAUGUUGUUGUAUCGUGUGGUUGUGGAGGUAAUAUGUUGUUGUAUUGUGUGGUUGUAAUAUGUUGUUGUAUUGUGGUUGUGGUGGUAAUAUGUUGUUGUAUUGUGGUGGUAAUAUGUUGUUGUAUUGUGGUUGUGGUAGUAAUAUGUUGUUGUAUUGUGGUUGUGGUGGUAAUAUGUUGUUGUAUUGUGGUUGUGGUGGUAAUAUGUUGCUGUAUAUAGUAUGGUUGUGGUAUUGUGUUAGUAUGUUGUUGUUUAUAUUGCGCUUGUAGUGAAUGGUAAUAUGUCGCAGAUUUUACAUUGGAAGAGGGAUUAGUAAUUAAUUAAAGUUGUUUCAUUUAAGUAAGUCUGUCUCUUGUCUGUUUUCUGGCAUCAGCUGUGCUGAGUUCUUACUGAAACCACUAGAAUCAACAGGCGGUGUAUCAACUCAGGGCCGACGCAUGAUCAAGAUACCAGUCACUCGUUGAGGAAAGAAAUAUUUAUUAAUAACUGUAGUAAUCAUGAUAAUAACUGCACUAACAGUGAUAAUAAUUUAAC